CGGAUCAUGGUUGCAGACCCGCUGAACU
Molecule: ribosomal RNA, 28 nt
Filed under: Penicillium citrinum
Lineage: Eukaryota; Fungi; Ascomycota; Eurotiomycetes; Eurotiales; Aspergillaceae
Description: partial 28S ribosomal RNA
Source: RNAcentral